UACGAGUGGUGCAAACGUUAUUCGGAAUUACUGGGCUUAAAGGGUGCGUAGGCUGCCAUGAGGGUCUGAUGUGAAAUACCACGGCUCAACCAUGGAACGGCGUUGGAAACCACAUGGCUGGAGUGAGACAGAGGUGAGCGGAACUGAUGGUGGAGCGGUGAAAUGCGUUGAUAUCAUCAGGAACACCGGUGGCGAAAGCGGCUCACUGGGUCUUUACUGACGCUGAUGCACGAAAGCCAGGGGAGCAAACGGG
This 253-nucleotide ribosomal RNA is filed under the name uncultured bacterium. Its description in RNAcentral is "partial 16S ribosomal RNA". It matches the Rfam family "Bacterial small subunit ribosomal RNA", at positions 524 to 776 of the family's 1533-position model. The record is from RNAcentral.